AYAGRGAUUCCCUUAGUAACGGCGAGUGAACCGGGAAGAGCUCAAAUUUGAAAUCUGGSUGUCUUCGAUAGUCCGAGUUGUAAUCUAUAGAAGCGUUUUCCGUGCUGAACUGUGUCUAAGUCCCUUGGAACAGGGUAUCAAARAGGGUGACAAUCCCGUACUUGACACAAUCAUCAGUGCUCUGUGAUACGUUCUCUACGAGUCGAGUUGUUUGGGAAUGCAGCUCAAAAUGGGUGGUAAAUUCCRUCUAAAGCUAAAUAUUGGCGAGAGACCGAUAGCGAACAAGUACCGUGRGGGAAAGAUGAAAAGCACUUUGGAAAGAGAGUUAAACAGUACGUGAAAUUGUUAAAAGGGAAACGAUUGAAGUCAGUCGUGUUUAUUGRAUUCAGCCGGUCUUCGGUGUACUUCCKUUAAACGGGUCAACAUCAGUUUUGUCCGGUGGAUAAAGGCAGUAGGAAUGUGGCUCCCUCGRGAGUGUUAUAGCCUAUUGUCACAUACACYGGAGGAGACUGARGACUGCMGCUCGYCUUUUGGCCGGKGUUCGCCCACSUUCGAGCUUAGGAUGUUGACAUAAUGGCUUUAAACKACCCGUCUUGAACAMGGGACCCAAAAA
This 613-nucleotide ribosomal RNA is filed under the name Apiotrichum laibachii. RNAcentral's name for it is "partial large subunit ribosomal RNA". It matches the Rfam family "Eukaryotic large subunit ribosomal RNA", at positions 68 to 664 of the family's 3401-position model. The record is from RNAcentral. Lineage: Eukaryota; Fungi; Basidiomycota; Tremellomycetes; Trichosporonales; Trichosporonaceae.